RNAcentral lists this ribosomal RNA (266 nucleotides) under uncultured Flavobacteriaceae bacterium. RNAcentral's name for it is "partial 23S ribosomal RNA". It matches the Rfam family "Bacterial large subunit ribosomal RNA", at positions 1 to 278 of the family's 2925-position model. The record is from RNAcentral. Lineage: Bacteria; Pseudomonadati; Bacteroidota; Flavobacteriia; Flavobacteriales; Flavobacteriaceae.
GAUAGGCUAAUUAAGGGCGUAUGGGGAAUGCCUAGGCUCUCAGAGGCGAUGAAGGACGUGAUAAGCUGCGAAAAGUUACGGGGAAUGGCACACACAUUUUGAUCCGUAAAUAUCCGAAUAGGGAAACCUGGCUAUUUGAAGAAUAGUCAUCCAUACUUGUAUGGAAGCAAACUCGGAGAACUGAAACAUCUAAGUACCCGGAGGAAGAGAAAACAAUAGUGAUUCCGCUAGUAGUGGCGAGCGAACGCGGAAUAGCCCAAACCUAA